UAGGAAAACUGGCUUUCUCCCUUCCCACCCUUUCUGGCCAACUAACAAGCCCUAGAGGUCACAAUGCUCUUGGCUCGUACAUCAUAAUUCCAUAGUUAUCUCUUAACAUUUCUCAUUCAACAAGUAUUUCCCUCAGCACAUAUUUGCUGAGAAUACCAUGUCCCAGGCCCUUGUUAAGUGCUGGGAAGAUGUAGAUUAAAAGCACUUUACAAGGCAGUGAAGAAAUGUGCAGGAUAAGGCAAAAGAAGGUUUGCUAAGCACAUCUGAAGGAAAAGGGCGAGCAAAGCGAUGGAGAUUUCCAUGCAAAGAAAACAGGAAGUGCAAAGGCCCUGAGGAGGGGCCACACCUGGCUUUGUUGGCUAAAAACUUAGAGAAGCAAGCACCUCAGUGAUAGGAGAGUGGUACAAGAUGAAGUCAAACAGAAAAUAGAUGGAAAAUAUCAUGCCAGGCUUUUUAUGUCAAUAAAGGAGUGAGAUUUUACUCAAAAGAAUUUGCUCUUAGACCUUACUGCGAUCAAUGCUAUGGAACCUCUUCUGAUUCUCCUACUCCAUCAUGAUAUUCACCAGUCUAUCCUCUAUCCGCAGCCAACCAUUUCAAGACUUUCAUAUGAAUGGGAUCAUACAGUAUAUGAUUUUUGUGACUGGCUUCUUUCACUCAGCAGAAUGUCUUCGAGUUUCAUCCAUGUUGUAGCAGGUAUUGGUACUUCGUUCCUUUUUAUGGCUGAAUAGUAUUCCAUUAUAUGGAUAUACCACUGUUUGUUUACCCACUACUCUGCUGAAGGACACUUGGGCUGUUUCUACCUUUUGGCUAUUAUGAAUAAUACUGCUAUAAACAUUUAUUACAAAUCUGUGUAAACAUUUAAAAAAACUGCUUAAUGUUCCAUUUUGUGGUAAAAUAUACAUAACAAAGUUUACCAUUGUAGCCAUUUUUAAGUGUACAGUUCAGUGGCAUUAAGUACAUUCCUACUUGGUCGUGCAAUUAUCACCACCAUCCAUUCUGGAACUUUUUCAUGAUCCCAUACAGAAACUAUACCCAUUAAACAAUAAUUCCUCAUUCCACCCUCCCCCAAACAUGUUUUUAUUUGUCUUAGGUACAUAUCUAGGAGUAGAAUUGCUGGUAUCUGUGUUUGUAACUACCAAACUGCUUUCCCAAAGCCCUGUGCCAUUUUAGAUUUCCACCAGCAACCUCUGAGGGUUCUAAUUUUUUCACACCCUUGCCAACACUUGUUAAUACCUUUUUGAUAAAGGCAUAUUGGUGGUGUAAAGUGCUAACUCACUGUGGUUCUGAUUUGUAUUUUCCUGAUGUUAAGCAUAUUUUCAUGUGUUUUUGGGCCACUUGUCUACUUUGGGGCCAUUUGUCAUACUUCUUUGGAAGUAUGUCUACUCAGAUCCUUGCCCAUUUUUUAAUUGGGGAAGUUGUCUUUUAUUGUUGAAUUCAAAGGUCUCUUACAUAUUCUACAUACAAGUCCAUUGACAGAUAUUUGAGUUGCAAAUAUUUUCUCCCACACUUGAUGGUGUCCUUUGAAGUACAAAUAGUCCAAUAUAUGUAUUUUCUCUUUUGUUGCUCAUGCCUUUGGUGUCAUAGCUAAGAAUUCUUUGUCAAACCCUAAGUCAUGAAGACUUACCUUUAUAUUUUCUUCUGUUUUAUAAUUUUGACCUUACAUUUCAUUUUUUGAUCCAUUCUGAGUUAAUUUUUGUAUAUGGUGUGAGGUAAGGUUCCUUUUGAAUGAAGCCAUCCAGUUGUCUUACCACUAAUCAUCAUUCUUUCUCCACUGAAUGAUCUUGACAAGCUUUUGAAAAUCAGCUGACCAUGGAUGCAUGGUUAUUUAUUUUUUUUUUCUGGAUUCUCAAUUCUAUUCCAUUGAUCAAUAUGUCUCUCCUUGUGCCAGUACCAUAUUAUCCUGAUUACCAUUACUUUGUAGUAAGUUUUGCAACUGGGAAGCAUGACUUCUACUUCACUCUUUUUUUUUUUUUCCAAUAUUGAUUUGGUCAUUCCAGGUACCCUGCAAUUUCACAGCAUGACUCCUACUUUACUCUUUUUUUUCAAUAUUG
Molecule: long non-coding RNA, 2051 nt
Organism: Felis catus (domestic cat)
Lineage: Eukaryota; Metazoa; Chordata; Mammalia; Carnivora; Felidae
Exons: 3
Source: RefSeq, a predicted model, not a curated record